This 740-nucleotide ribosomal RNA is filed under the name uncultured bacterium. Its description in RNAcentral is "bacterial SSU rRNA". It matches the Rfam family "Bacterial small subunit ribosomal RNA", at positions 8 to 796 of the family's 1533-position model. The record is from RNAcentral.
AGAGUUUGAUCCUGGCUCAGAACGAACGCUGGCGGCAGGCCUAAUACAUGCAAGUCGAGCGCCCAGCAAUGGGAGCGGCGGACGGGUGCGUAACACGUGGGAACGUACCCUUCGGUUCGGAAUAACUCAGGGAAACUUGAGCUAAUACCGAUUACGCCCGAAAGGGGAAAGAUUUAUCGCCGAAGGAUCGGCCCGCGUUCGAUUAGCUAGUUGGUGGGGUAAUGGCUCACCAAGGCAACGAUCGAUAGCUGGUUUGAGAGAACGACCAGCCACACUGGGACUGAGACACGGCCCAGACUCCUACGGGAGGCAGCAGUAGGGAAUCUUGGACAAUGGGGGAAACCCUGAUCCAGCCAUGCCGCGUGAGUGAUGAAGGCCUUCGGGUUGUAAAACUCUUUCGCGCACGACGAUAAUGACGGUAGUGCGAGAAGAAGCUCCGGCUAACUUCGUGCCAGCAGCCGCGGUAAUACGAAGGGGGCUAGCGUUGUUCGGAAUUACUGGGCGUAAAGCGCGCGCAGGCGGCUUUUCAAGUCAGGGGUGAAAGCCCGGAGCUCAACUCCGGAACUGCCUCUGAGACUGUGAAGCUUGAGUACGGGAGAGGUGAGUGGAAUUCCGAGUGUAGAGGUGAAAUUCGUAGAUAUUCGGAAGAACACCGGUGGCGAAGGCGGCUCACUGGCCCGUUACUGACGNNCAGGCGCGACAGCGUGGGGAGCAAACAGGAUUAGAUACCCUAGUAGUCC